AUUGAACGCUGGCGGCAGGCCUAACACAUGCAAGUCGAACGAGUGGCGGACGGGUGAGUAAUGUCUGGGCAACUGCCCGUUGGAGGGGGAUAAAUACUGGAAACCGUAGCUUAUACCGCAUACCAUCCGUUGUGCCCAGAUGGGAUUGGCUAGUAGGUGGGGUAAUGGCUCACCUAGGCGACGAUCCCUCGCUGGUUUGAGAGGUUGACCAGCCAAACGGGAACGUAAACAAGGUCCAGACUCCAACGGGGGGAAGAAGGGGGGAAGAUUGGACAAGGGGGGAAAGCCUGAUGAAGCCAGGCCGCGGAUAUGAAGAAGGCCUUCGGGUUGUAAAGUACUUUCAGCGAGGAGGCGGUACUCGCAGAAGAAGCAACGGCUAACUACGUGCCAGCAGCCGCGGUAAUUC
RNAcentral lists this ribosomal RNA (406 nucleotides) under uncultured bacterium. Its description in RNAcentral is "partial 16S ribosomal RNA". It matches the Rfam family "Bacterial small subunit ribosomal RNA", at positions 29 to 526 of the family's 1533-position model. The record is from RNAcentral.